CCUACGGGAGGCAGCAGUGGGGAAUCUUCCGCAAUGGGCGAAAGCCUGACGGAGCAACGCCGCGUGGAGGAAGAAGGUCUUCGGAUUGUAAACUCCUUUCAGCGGAGACGAAGCCUGUAUGGGUGACGGUAUCCGCAGAAGAAGCCCCGGCCAACUACGUGCCAGCAGCCGCGGUAAGACGUAGGGGGCAAGCGUUACUCGGAAUUACUGGGCGUAAAGGGUGUGUAGGCGGCCGAGCAAGUCGAAGAUGAAAUCCCAGGGCUCAACCCUGGAAUUGUCUUCGAUACUGCUUGGCUUGAGGGUAGUGGAGGAGAGCGAAAUUCCCGGUGGAGCGGUGAAAUGCGUAGAUAUCGGGAGGAACACCAGAUGCGAAGGCGGCUCUCUAUGCUACUCCUGACGCUUAGGCACGAAAGAUAGGGGAGCAAACGGGAUUAGAUCCCUUGGUAGU
Molecule: ribosomal RNA, 448 nt
Filed under: uncultured bacterium
Lineage: Bacteria
Description: partial 16S ribosomal RNA
Rfam family: Bacterial small subunit ribosomal RNA
Source: RNAcentral